AUUAUUAGGAGUUAGCAGAGCUGGAAUUACCCAGUCUGCGGGUAAUUAAGCUGUCAUUAAUAUUGAUUAUAUUGAUAAUUUUAGAAUAAAAUCUCGAAAAUAAUCUGAAAUUAAAAAAUUAAUGACAGCUUAUUAUAUAUUUAAUUUCCUUUGCAAAAGAUAUCUAAAUUAUUUACAAUUUAUCAGCGGCACUUUCACAAAAGUAA
Molecule: ribosomal RNA, 206 nt
Filed under: Meloidogyne enterolobii
Lineage: Eukaryota; Metazoa; Nematoda; Chromadorea; Rhabditida; Meloidogynidae
Description: partial small subunit ribosomal RNA
Source: RNAcentral